AAUAAAUCUAUUUCUAUUUUAUUAUAUAUUAUUUUAUAUUCUAGAUCCUGGUCCUGGCUGAAAUUUAGAGUAUUGCAGCUGUAGCCUGUAUACCAUACAUUCAACAUGAAAGGGACUGUCAGGAUGCUGCAUAAAAUGGUCUUAGCUAGAGCCAGGAAUGUUAAUUUCUUGGGAAUAUGCUGCAAGGAACUGACGGAGAGCAGUUUUUCUUACAAAUCAUAGAAGCAGUAAGAGACAGCCAAAGACGUACUCGAACACUUGAAAUACCCAGAAAGAUCUAGAAGAAAAGAUUGGAACAGAUUUAAGCUUAAUUGUUCAAACUAUUAAAGUUAAUUUUAGCUGCACUUGAGCUGUAUUUUUGAAAUAAAAUAUCUGAAGUAUUUAAUAUUGUCUUGAUAUUUUGUUAAACUUGGUUACUUUGCUUUAUAUCCAAAAAUUAAAGUAUGGUGGGUUUUCAACGUUGAAAUGACAUUGAAACUUCAAUGUUGUGCCAACGUUGAAGCUGCAACGUUGAAUCAACGUUGAAAUUUCAACGUUGUUUCAACUUUCAAAUCCGAAUAUAAAUCCAACCUUAUUUCAACGUUGAAA
This is a long non-coding RNA of Ruditapes philippinarum (Manila clam), 588 nucleotides long. RefSeq lists it as uncharacterized. The transcript has 3 exons. The record is from RefSeq and is a predicted model, not a curated record. NCBI's taxonomy places the organism in Eukaryota, Metazoa, Mollusca, Bivalvia, Venerida, Veneridae.